This 253-nucleotide ribosomal RNA is filed under the name uncultured bacterium. Its description in RNAcentral is "partial 16S ribosomal RNA". It matches the Rfam family "Bacterial small subunit ribosomal RNA", at positions 524 to 776 of the family's 1533-position model. The record is from RNAcentral.
UACGAAGGGGGCUAGCGUUGUUCGGAAUCACUGGGCGUAAAGGGCGCGUAGGCGGCUUUGUAAGUCGGGGGUGAAAGCCUGUGGCUCAACCACAGAAUUGCCUUCGAUACUGCAUGGCUUGAGACCGGAAGAGGUAAGUGGAACUGCGAGUGUAGAGGUGAAAUUCGUAGAUAUUCGGAAGAACACCAGUGGCGAAGGCGACUAACUGGACAUGUAUUGACGCUGAGGUGCGAAAGCGUGGGGAGCAAAAGGG